GGGUUUUUAUUUUGUAAUUUAAACCUUAAAUUUAUUUUUUUAAUGUUUAUGUUUUUGAAUGUUUUAUUCAAAUAAUGUAAAAAAUAAAAUAGAUAUUGACAUGGAUUGAACAAAGAUAUAUAUUAUUUUAUGUUGCAUAAACAAAUUGGCAAAAUAAAGAUGGAAGAUAAAAAUAUGGU
This 179-nucleotide unclassified non-coding RNA is filed under the name Borreliella valaisiana. Its description in RNAcentral is "partial miscellaneous RNA". Lineage: Bacteria; Pseudomonadati; Spirochaetota; Spirochaetia; Spirochaetales; Borreliaceae. The record is from RNAcentral.